Molecule: ribosomal RNA, 468 nt
Filed under: uncultured bacterium
Lineage: Bacteria
Description: partial 16S ribosomal RNA
Rfam family: Bacterial small subunit ribosomal RNA
Source: RNAcentral
GACGAACGCUGGCGGCGUGCUUAACACAUGCAAGUCGAACGGAAAGGCCCUGCUUUUGUGGGGUGCUCGAGUGGCGAACGGGUGAGUAACACGUGAGUAACCUGCCCUUGACUUUGGGAUAACUUCAGGAAACUGGGGCUAAUACCGGAUAGGAGCUCCCGCUGCAUGGUGGGGGUUGGAAAGUUUCGGCGGUUGGGGAUGGACUCGCGGCUUACCAGCUUGUUGGUGGGGUAGUGGCUUACCAAGGCUUUGACGGGUAGCCGGCCUGAGAGGGUGACCGGCCACAUUGGGACUGAGAUACGGCCCAGACUCCUACGGGAGGCAGCAGUGGGGAAUAUUGCACAAUGGGCGGAAGCCUGAUGCAGCAACGCCGCGUGCGGGAUGACGGCCUUCGGGUUGUAAACCGCUUUCGCCUGUGACGAAGCGUGAGUGACGGUAAUGGGUAAAGAAGCACCGGCUAACUACGUG